Octodon degus (degu) is the source of this 107-nucleotide small nuclear RNA. The record is from Ensembl. Lineage: Eukaryota; Metazoa; Chordata; Mammalia; Rodentia; Octodontidae.
GUGCUCGCUUCAGCUGCACAUAUACUAAAAUUGGAAUGAUACGGAGAAGAUUAGCAUGGCUCCUGGGCAAGGAUGACACGCAAAUUCGUGACGCGUUCCAUAUUUUA